UUGCUUUGGCAGUACAUAUACUAAAAUUGGAAUGAUACAAAGGAUUAGAAUGGCCCUUGAGCAAGGAUGACAUGCAAAGGACUCUGGGAGGAGGGACUAAAUAAAU
Small nuclear RNA from Grammomys surdaster, 106 nucleotides. NCBI's taxonomy places the organism in Eukaryota, Metazoa, Chordata, Mammalia, Rodentia, Muridae. The record is from RefSeq and is a predicted model, not a curated record.